GAUAACCAAAUAUCUGUCCUGGAUUUAUUGUUGGAUCUGUAAUGAUUCUGACUUGACCAAAAUCUCCCGCCCAAGGGUCAAACAACCCGCCCCAAAACAUGGCUUUAAAGACCAGUAAAUAGGCACCCAAUCCGAGUAGUACUAGAUGAAUCCCAAUGAUGCUGGUCAUCUUAUUCUCAUCUUGCCA
Molecule: antisense RNA, 187 nt
Filed under: Xenococcus sp. PCC 7305
Lineage: Bacteria; Bacillati; Cyanobacteriota; Cyanophyceae; Pleurocapsales; Xenococcaceae
Description: Antisense RNA which regulates isiA expression
Rfam family: Antisense RNA which regulates isiA expression
Source: Rfam by way of RNAcentral